UACAGAGGUCUCAAGCGUUGUUCGGAUUCAUUGGGCGUAAAGGGCGCGUAGGCGGCCUGCUAAGUCGAACGUGAAAUCCCUGGGCUCAACCCAGGAACUGCGUCCGAUACUGGUUGGCUUGAAUCCGGGAGAGGGAUGUGGAAUUCCAGGUGUAGCGGUGAAAUGCGUAGAUAUCUGGAGGAACACCGGUGGCGAAGGCGGCAUCCUGGACCGACACUGACGCUGAUGCGCGAAAGCUAGGGGAGCAAACGGG
Molecule: ribosomal RNA, 253 nt
Filed under: uncultured bacterium
Lineage: Bacteria
Description: partial 16S ribosomal RNA
Rfam family: Bacterial small subunit ribosomal RNA
Source: RNAcentral